Molecule: unclassified non-coding RNA, 536 nt
Filed under: Hevea brasiliensis (rubber tree)
Lineage: Eukaryota; Viridiplantae; Streptophyta; Magnoliopsida; Malpighiales; Euphorbiaceae
Source: RNAcentral
GAAAGGGCAAAAGAUCAGACGGGAAACAGAAACAGAAGAUUGUAGUAGUACCCUGAGCGAGCUGAGAGGACUCAAAAGCUUAGCGAAAAUGGUGAAAGUUGCGACGUUCUUUGCUAUGUCUGUAGGAGCCUUCGCUUUCUGGCAAACCAUGGACAAAAUUCAUGUCUGGAUCGCUCUUCAUCAGGAUGAGAAGCAAGAGAGAAUGGAGAAGGAAGCAGAAAUCAGAAGAAUGAGAGCAGAGCUAAUCAGAGAAAACAAAAAGCGGGAGUCUCUUGCCUAAAGGCUGCUGAGAAUUGCGAACCUAAAGUUGCAUUCAGUUCAACAAUUUGUUUUUGCUGUCUUUUUGAACAUUUCUGGACCUCUGCUUCCUAAUUUCCAUAAAAUCAUGUAAUGAUGGUCAUGAAUGCCUUAAAUGUAAACUCAAGUUUGGACCUGUCUCAGUGCUCUGCUGUCAAUAGCAUGAUUAUGCUUGCACUGGUAAACAUGUAGCUUCUUUUAAUCUUACAAUAAAUACCAUUUUUUUGGUUUGGUUGGUC